RNAcentral lists this ribosomal RNA (468 nucleotides) under uncultured bacterium. Its description in RNAcentral is "partial 16S ribosomal RNA". It matches the Rfam family "Bacterial small subunit ribosomal RNA", at positions 28 to 507 of the family's 1533-position model. The record is from RNAcentral.
GACGAACGCUGGCGGCGUGCUUAACACAUGCAAGUCGAACGGAAAGGCCCUGCUUUUGUGGGUUUCUCGAGUGGCGAACGGGUGAGUAACACGUGAGUAACCUGCCCUUGACUUUGUGAUAACUUCAGGAAACUGGGGCUCAUACCGGAUAGGAGCUCCUGCUGCAUGUUGGUGGUUGGAAAGUUUCGGCGGUUGUGGAUGGACUCGCGGCUUAUCAGCUUGUUGGUGGGGUAGUGGCUUACCAAGGGUUUGACGGGUAGCCUGCCUGGGAGGGUGACCGGGCACAUGGGGACUGAGAGACGGACCAGACGCGUACGGGAGGCAGCAGUGGGGAGUAUUGCACAAUGGGCGGAAGCCUGAGGCAGCAACGCCGCGUGCGGGAUGACGGCCUUCGGGGUGUAAACCGAUUUCGCAGGUGACGAAGCGGGAGUGACGGUAAUGGGUAAAGAAGCACCGGCUAACUACGUG